CGCUCCCUGGGGUGUGCGCCAGUCGCUGAAGACCUCGAGCCUAUGCACUUAACCCAGGAUGUUUCUCGAAUAGAGGGAGUGCAUGUCCGCCCCGUGCGGAAAGCCCGAUUCUAUACAGGAAUGUCCACCUUGAACCUCAUGGUUCAAGGGCUUUCUUCGACAGCGGCACAGUGGGGAGCCC
RNAcentral lists this non-coding RNA (181 nucleotides) under Oceanospirillaceae bacterium. RNAcentral's name for it is "6S RNA". It matches the Rfam family "6S / SsrS RNA". Rfam says of the family: E. coli 6S RNA was the first non coding RNA to be sequenced, but its function was unknown until recently. It consists of 184 nucleotides that fold into an extended hairpin structure with a large single-stranded internal bulge. The 6S RNA specifically associates with RNA polymerase holoenzyme containing the sigma70 specificity factor. The record is from RNAcentral. Lineage: Bacteria; Pseudomonadati; Pseudomonadota; Gammaproteobacteria; Oceanospirillales; Oceanospirillaceae.